RNAcentral lists this ribosomal RNA (406 nucleotides) under uncultured bacterium. Its description in RNAcentral is "bacterial SSU rRNA". It matches the Rfam family "Bacterial small subunit ribosomal RNA", at positions 400 to 823 of the family's 1533-position model. The record is from RNAcentral.
CGUGAGGGAGUAAGGCCUUCGGGUUGUAAACCUUUUUCCUGGGGAAGAAUUCUGACGGUACCCAGGGAAUAAGCCUCGGCCAACUACGUGCCAGCAGCCGCGGUAAUACGUAGGAGGCGAACGUUAUUCGGAUUUACUGGGCGUAAAGGGAGCGUAGGCGGUUCCUCAAGUCGAAUGUGAAAUCUUCCGCCUCAAUCGGAAGGCGCCAUUUGAUACUGGGGGACUUGAGAGCAGCAGAGGGAAAUGGAAUCUCCAGUGUAGCGGUGAAAUGCGUAGAUAUUGGAGAGAACACCAGUGGCGAAGGCGAUUUCCCAGGCUGCUUCUGACGCUGAGGCUCGAAAGCGUGGGGAGCGAACCGGAUUAGAUACCCGCGUAGUCCACGCCCUAAACGGUGGACACUAGAUAU